This 776-nucleotide ribosomal RNA is filed under the name uncultured Neocallimastigales. Its description in RNAcentral is "partial large subunit ribosomal RNA". It matches the Rfam family "Eukaryotic large subunit ribosomal RNA", at positions 23 to 621 of the family's 3401-position model. The record is from RNAcentral. Lineage: Eukaryota; Fungi; Neocallimastigomycota; Neocallimastigomycetes; Neocallimastigales.
GAGACUCUGUGCGCGUGCAUAUCAAUAAGCGGAGGAAAAGAAACUAACAAGGAUUCCCUUAGUAACGGCGAGUGAAGCGGGAAGAGCUCAAAUUUGAAAUCUUCAAGGUUCUACCUUGACGAAUUGUAGUUUAUAGAAGUGUUUUCUGUUAGUGGAGUGGCAAAAGUUCUUUGGAAUAGGACAUCAUAGAGGGUGAGAAUCCCGUAUUUGGUCAUUCCUCCUAGCGUUGUGAUACACUUUCAACGAGUCGGAUUGUUUGGGAAUGCAGUCCAAAAUGGGUGGUAAAUUUCAUCUAAAGCUAAAUAUUGGCGAGAGACCGAUAGCGAACAAGUACCGUGAGGGAAAGAUGAAAAGAACUUUGAAAAGAGAGUUAAACAGUACGUGAAAUUGUCAAAAGGGAAGCGUUUGACACCAGUGUUGUUUUCUCGAAAAUCAAUUACGAAUGUUUUAUUUUUGAGGAGUUAUGACUUCAUCGGCUUGCUUCCUUUCUUUAUGAAACUUUCUUAAUGCACUUUUCGGUUAACAAGUCAACAUCAAUUUCUUUUGUUGUAAAAGGGUAUGAGGAAGGUGGCUUUCUUUUCGGAGAAAGUGUUUAUAGCCUUAUGGCCUCUGCAAUCGGAGAGAUUGAGGUCUGCAGCGUAGAUCCUUCGGGGUUAGAUACGUUUGUGCUAAGUUAUAGCUUUUCAUAGACAACUUGUUGACUAUGUUUAGUCUUGUAGCUUACUCGCUGACGCUAUUUUACCUACGCUUAGGAUGUUGAACUCUAUCACACACAG